AUUGAACGCUGGCGGCAUGCCUUACACAUGCAAGUCGAACGGUAACGGGUCCUUCGGGAUGCCGACGAGUGGCGAACGGGUGAGUAAUAUAUCGGAACGUGCCCAGUAGUGGGGGAUAACUGCUAGAAAGAGCAGCUAAUACCGCAUACGACAUGAGGGUGAAAGGGGGGGAUGGCAAGACCUCUAGCUAUUGGAGCGGCCGAUAUCAGAUUAGCUAGUUGGGGGGGUAAAGGCCUACCAAGGCAACGAUCUGUAGAUGGUCUGAGAGGACGACCAGCCACACUGGGACUGAGACACUGCCCAGACUCCUACGGGAGGCAGCAGUGGGGAAUUUUGGACAAUGGGCGCAAGCCUAAUCCAGCAAUGCCGCGUGCAGGAAGAAGGCCUUCGGGUUGUAAACUGCUUUUGUCAGGGAAGAAAUCUUCUGGGCUAAUACCCCGGGAGGAUGACGGUACCUGAAGAAUGAGCACCGGCUAACUACGUGCCAGCAGCCGCGGUAA
Molecule: ribosomal RNA, 500 nt
Filed under: uncultured bacterium
Lineage: Bacteria
Description: partial 16S ribosomal RNA
Rfam family: Bacterial small subunit ribosomal RNA
Source: RNAcentral